Molecule: long non-coding RNA, 850 nt
Organism: Neodiprion fabricii
Lineage: Eukaryota; Metazoa; Arthropoda; Insecta; Hymenoptera; Diprionidae
Exons: 3
Source: RefSeq, a predicted model, not a curated record
AGAACGCUGCAGUAGUGCGACGUACGCAUCGGCGGCAAACGGCGAUCGACGCCGGCACCGGCGGCACCGCCGGUAGCGGCCCGAUGGUACAAAAACAGGACCCAAUUCGUGGUAGAACCCACUUGUGGAUCGGAUCCUGACAUCGCCGCAUUCGUUGAACGACAAGUUUUAAAUUUACGGUCCGUAAUAUCGGGAAGAUAUUUAAAGUUCUAGCGGCGCGUAGUGCUAAAAACAAAAAAAAAACAAAAAAAAAAAAAUUUACUAGUAUCUCCCGAGCUGAAAAUUUGUACACAUUUGAAGAAAGAUUUGAACUCAUUUUUUAGAGGCAAAUCAGCCCGCUCGAUCAGUGCUGUAAAGAAAUCGUUGAUAAUUCUGGGACGAAAUGACGAGCAGUUAAAGGGAAAGAUAUGAUUUUCAAAUGGGAUCGUAUUUGCAUGCAUCUUAACGACGAACUGAGUAAUUGCACGUUAAAAUUCACGACCUACUUUGGUGAGUAUGUACAUAGACAUAAUGAUUGGCAAUUGAGAGCAUAUAUAAUCAUCUGCUGAAGUGAGUACAAAGAAAAAAUGUGAAAUGUAAUAACACGAGUAAAAUUUAUCGAGGAAGCGAUCGAUUUAUCUUUAGGGAAAUACCGAUUGCGAUAAAUUCUACAGUACCAAAAUUAAGCGUACAACAACCAACUGAAUUUCACGGGCAAAAUAAAGGUCGUUGUUUUGGCGAAUUAGUGUAUACGGUAAAAAAUAAAUCAAAAUUCAGGACAGGCAUCGCAAACGAAUUACAUUAACGCAAUUUUUCACCUUUACGUUUUGUUUUUUUUUUUUUUUUUUUGUUUUUCGUUUUUCUCUAUUAC